This 400-nucleotide ribosomal RNA is filed under the name uncultured bacterium. Its description in RNAcentral is "partial 16S ribosomal RNA". It matches the Rfam family "Bacterial small subunit ribosomal RNA", at positions 338 to 735 of the family's 1533-position model. The record is from RNAcentral.
CCUACGGGUGGCAGCAGUGAGGAAUAUUGGUCAAUGGACGCAAGUCUGAACCAGCCAUGCCGCGUGCAGGAAGACGGCUCUAUGAGUUGUAAACUGCUUUUGUAUGGGGAUAAACGCCGAUACGCGUACUUGUCUGCAUGUAUCGUACGAAUAAGGAUCGGCUAACUCCGUGCCAGCAGCCGCGGUAAUACGGAGGAUUCAAGCGUUAUCCGGAUUUAUUGGGUUUAAAGGGUGCGUAGGCGGUCGGUUAAGUUAGAGGUGAAAACUCGAGGCUCAACUUCGGAAUUGCCUCUGAUACUGGUCGGCUAGAGAGUAGUUGCGGUAGGCGGAAUGUGUGGUGUAGCGGUGAAAUGCUUAGAGAUCAUACAGAACACCGAUUGCGAAGGCAGCGUACCAAGCU